RNAcentral lists this ribosomal RNA (1568 nucleotides) under Vibrio vulnificus JY1305. RNAcentral's name for it is "bacterial LSU rRNA". It matches the Rfam family "Bacterial large subunit ribosomal RNA", at positions 799 to 2351 of the family's 2925-position model. Lineage: Bacteria; Pseudomonadati; Pseudomonadota; Gammaproteobacteria; Vibrionales; Vibrionaceae. The record is from RNAcentral.
AGCGGAUGACUUGUGGCUAGGGGUGAAAGGCCAAUCAAACUCGGAGAUAGCUGGUUCUCCCCGAAAGCUAUUUAGGUAGCGCCUCGGACGAAUACUACUGGGGGUAGAGCACUGUUAAGGCUAGGGGGUCAUCCCGACUUACCAACCCUUUGCAAACUCCGAAUACCAGUAAGUACUAUCCGGGAGACACACGGCGGGUGCUAACGUCCGUCGUGGAGAGGGAAACAACCCAGACCGCCAGCCCCUAAGGUCCCAAAUUACAGCUAAGUGGGAAACGAUGUGGGAAGGCUUAGACAGCUAGGAUGUUGGCUUAGAAGCAGCCAUCAUUUAAAGAAAGCGUAAUAGCUCACUAGUCGAGUCGGCCUGCGCGGAAGAUGUAACGGGGCUAAGUUGUAAACCGAAGCUGCGGCAAUGUUCUAUGAACAUUGGGUAGGGGAGCGUUCUGUAAGCCGUUGAAGGUGUGUUGUAAAGCAUGCUGGAGGUAUCAGAAGUGCGAAUGCUGACAUGAGUAACGACAAGGGGGGUGAAAAACCUCCCCGCCGGAAGACCAAGGGUUCCUGUCCAACGUUAAUCGGGGCAGGGUAAGUCGACCCCUAAGGCGAGGCUGAAAAGCGUAGUCGAUGGGAAACGGGUUAAUAUUCCCGUACUUCUUACAAUUGCGAUGGGGGGACGGAGAAGGCUAGGUGGGCCUGGCGACGGUUGUCCAGGUUCAAGUGCGUAGGCUGAGUGUUUAGGUAAAUCCGGAUACUCUUAAGGCUGAGACACGACGUCGAGCUACUACGGUAGUGAAGUCAUUGAUGCCAUGCUUCCAGGAAAAGCCUCUAAGCUUCAGAUUGUAAGGAAUCGUACCCCAAACCGACACAGGUGGUCGGGUAGAGAAUACCAAGGCGCUUGAGAGAACUCGGGUGAAGGAACUAGGCAAAAUGGUACCGUAACUUCGGGAGAAGGUACGCUCUUGAUGGUGAAGUCCCUUGCGGAUGGAGCUGACGAGAGUCGCAGAUACCAGGUGGCUGCAACUGUUUAUUAAAAACACAGCACUGUGCAAAAUCGUAAGAUGACGUAUACGGUGUGACGCCUGCCCGGUGCCGGAAGGUUAAUUGAUGGGGUUAGCGCAAGCGAAGCUCUUGAUCGAAGCCCCGGUAAACGGCGGCCGUAACUAUAACGGUCCUAAGGUAGCGAAAUUCCUUGUCGGGUAAGUUCCGACCUGCACGAAUGGCGUAAUGAUGGCCACGCUGUCUCCACCCGAGACUCAGUGAAAUUGAAAUCGCUGUGAAGAUGCAGUGUACCCGCGGCUAGACGGAAAGACCCCGUGAACCUUUACUACAGCUUGGCACUGAACAUUGAACCUACAUGUGUAGGAUAGGUGGGAGGCUUUGAAGACGUGACGCCAGUUGCGUUGGAGCCGUCCUUGAAAUACCACCCUUGUAUGUUUGAUGUUCUAACGUUGGCCCCUAAUCGGGGUUGCGGACAGUGCCUGGUGGGUAGUUUGACUGGGGCGGUCUCCUCCCAAAGAGUAACGGAGGAGCACGAAGGUGGGCUAAUCACGGUUGGACAUCGUGAGGUUAGUG